CCUACGGGAGGCAGCAGUCGGGAAUUUUGGGCAAUGGGCGAAAGCCUGACCCAGCAACGCCGCGUGAAGGAUGAAGUAUUUCGGUAUGUAAACUUCGAAAGAAUGGGAAGAAUCAAUGACGGUACCAUUUAUAAGGUCUGGCUAACUACGUGCCAGCAGCCGCGGUAAUACGUAGGGACCAAGCGUUGUUCGGAUUUACUGGGCGUAAAGGGCGCGUAGGCGGCGUGACAAGUCACUUGUGAAAUCCCACGGCUCAACUGUGGAACUGCGUCGGAUACUGCGUUGACUUGAGGAUGGUAGAGGCCAUUAGAACUAGCGGUGUAGCGGUGAAAUGCGCAGAUAUCGCUAGGAAUGCCGGUGGCGAAGGCGGAUGGCUGGGCCACUCCUGACGCUGAGGCGCGAAAGCUAGGGGAGCGAACCGGAUUAGAUACCCCGGUAGU
This 440-nucleotide ribosomal RNA is filed under the name uncultured bacterium. RNAcentral describes it as "bacterial SSU rRNA". It matches the Rfam family "Bacterial small subunit ribosomal RNA", at positions 338 to 794 of the family's 1533-position model. The record is from RNAcentral.